CAGCGGGUUACGAUUGACGGAGCGAAGCGACGUCAAAGCGUAUACAAAGUCGAGUCGGUUUAAGGAUACGUUCGUUGGGUAGGGGAGCGUUCUGUAAGCCCGUGAAGGUGGCCUGUGAGGGUUGCUGGAGGUAUCAGAAGUGCGAAUGCUGACAUAAGUAACGAUAAAGCGGGUGAAAAGCCCGCUCGCCGGAAGACCAAGGGUUCCUGUCCAACGUUAAUCGGGGCAGGGUGAGUCGACCCCUAAGGCGAGGCCGAAAGGCGUAGUCGAUGGGAAACGGGUUAAUAUUCCCGUACUUGGUGUUACUGCGAAGGGGGGACGGAGAAGGCUAUGUUGGCCGGGCGACGGUUGUCCCGGUUUAAGCGUGUAGGUGUGUGUUCCAGGUAAAUCCGGUUCACUUUAACACUGAGGCGUGAUGACGAGGCACUACGGUGCUGAAGCAACAAAUGCCCUGCUUCCAGGAAAAGCCUCUAAGCAUCAGGUAACAUCAAAUCGUACCCCAAACCGACACAGGUGGUCAGGUAGAGAAUACCAAGGCGCUUGAGAGAACUCGGGUGAAGGAACUAGGCAAAAUGGUGCCGUAACUUCGGGAGAAGGCACGCUGACACGUAGGUGAAGUGAUUUACUCAUGGAGCUGAAGUCAGUCGAAGAUACCAGCUGGCUGCAACUGUUUAUUAAAAACACAGCACUGUGCAAACACGAAAGUGGACGUAUACGGUGUGACGCCUGCCCGGUGCCGGAAGGUUAAUUGAUGGGGUCAGCGCAAGCGAAGCUCCUGAUCGAAGCCCCGGUAAACGGCGGCCGUAACUAUAACGGUCCUAAGGUAGCGAAAUUCCUUGUCGGGUAAGUUCCGACCUGCACGAAUGGCGUAAUGAUGGCCAGGCUGUCUCCACCCGAGACUCAGUGAAAUUGAACUCGCUGUGAAGAUGCAGUGUACCCGCGGCAAGACGGAAAGACCCCGUGAACCUUUACUAUAGCUUGACACUGAACAUUGAGCCUUGAUGUGUAGGAUAGGUGGGAGGCUUUGAAGUGUGGACGCCAGUCUGCAUGGAGCCGACCUUGAAAUACCACCCUUUAAUGUUUGAUGUUCUAACGUGGACCCGUAAUCCGGGUUGCGGACAGUGUCUGGUGGGUAGUUUGACUGGGGCGGUCUCCUCCUAAAGAGUAACGGAGGAGCACGAAGGUUGGCUAAUCCUGGUCGGACAUCAGGAGGUUAGUGCAAUGGCAUAAGCCAGCUUGACUGCGAGCGUGACGGCGCGAGCAGGUGCGAAAGCAGGUCAUAGUGAUCCGGUGGUUCUGAAUGGAAGGGCCAUCGCUCAACGGAUAAAAGGUACUCCGGGGAUAACAGGCUGAUACCGCCCAAGAGUUCAUAUCGACGGCGGUGUUUGGCACCUCGAUGUCGGCUCAUCACAUCCUGGGGCUGAAGUAGGUCCCAAGGGUAUGGCUGUUCGCCAUUUAAAGUGGUACGCGAGCUGGGUUUAGAACGUCGUGAGACAGUUCGGUCCCUAUCUGCCGUGGGCGCUGGAGAACUGAGGGGGGCUGCUCCUAGUACGAGAGGACCGGAGUGGACGCAUCACUGGUGUUCGGGUUGUCAUGCCAAUGGCACUGCCCGGUAGCUAAAUGCGGAAGAGAUAAGUGCUGAAAGCAUCUAAGCACGAAACUUGCCCCGAGAUGAGUUCUCCCUGAGACUUUAGGUCUCCUGAAGGAACGUUGAAGACGACGACGUUGAUAGGCCGGGUGUGUAAGCGCAGCGAUGCGUUGAGCUAACCGGUACUAAUGAACCGUGAGGCUUAACCUU
Molecule: ribosomal RNA, 1798 nt
Filed under: Salmonella enterica
Lineage: Bacteria; Pseudomonadati; Pseudomonadota; Gammaproteobacteria; Enterobacterales; Enterobacteriaceae
Description: partial 23S ribosomal RNA
Rfam family: Bacterial large subunit ribosomal RNA
Source: RNAcentral